Molecule: long non-coding RNA, 526 nt
Filed under: Malus domestica (apple)
Lineage: Eukaryota; Viridiplantae; Streptophyta; Magnoliopsida; Rosales; Rosaceae
Description: long non-coding RNA (MDOM_LNC008031)
Source: RNAcentral
ACCCACUUGGUGCCGAGUCAUUUUCCACAUGGGCACCACGUCACAGUUAACGGGAGACUUAACAGUUUGACUAACGGAUGUAUGAGACUGUCCCAAAAUUUACACUUUAGGUAUGACUCUGGGACGAAAAAAAAUUGAUGUACUUGUGAACACGGAAAAUUCCUGAAACGAAAGAGACAAGAACAACGUGCACAAACAAAUAUUUGUAUUUGAUGAUUUUGGGGUUACAAUCUCUCUUCUAUUUGAUCCUCUGAUUCAAUCUCCGUAAGGUGUGUAUUUGUGGAUAUGCGAUUAAUCCAAAGGGCCAUUGGGCUUGAUCUAAGGAUGAACGUUCUUCAAGGGCCGUGGACUUGAUCUUGAAGGUGGAUUUGAGCAGAACUUCAAAGGGGCUUUUGGGCUUGAUCUUUGAAGAACAGUGAUGAACGGAUCUCCAAGGGCUUUUGGGCUUGAUCUUGAAGAACAGUGAUGAACGGAUCUCCAAGGGCUUUUGGGCUUGAUCUUGAAGAACGGAUCUUCAAGGGCUUUU